GGGGAAUAUUGCACAAUGGGCGCAAGCCUGAUGCAGCGACGCCGCGUGGGGGAUGACGGCCUUCGGGUUGUAAACUCCUUUCGCUAGGGACGAAGCUUUUUGUGACGGUACCUAGAUAGGAAGCACCGGCUAACUACGUGCCAGCAGCCGCGGUAAUACGUAGGGUGCGAGCGUUGUCCGGAAUUACUGGGCGUAAAGGGCUCGUAGGUGGUUUGUCGCGUCGUCUGUGAAAUUCCGGGGCUUAACUCCGGGCGUGCAGGCGAUACGGGCAUAACUUGAGUACUGUAGGGGUAACUGGAAUUCCUGGUGUAGCGGUGAAAUGCGCAGAUAUCAGGAGGAACACCGAUGGCGAAGGCAGGUUACUGGGCAGUUACUGACGCUGAGGAGCGAAAGCAUGGGUAGCGAACAGGAUUAGAUACCCUGGUAGUCCAUGCCGUAAACGGUGGGCGCUAGGUGUGAGGGUCUUUUCACGACUUUCGUGCCGUAGCUAACGCAUUAAGCGCCCCGCCUGGGGAGUACGGCCGCAAGGCUA
This 532-nucleotide ribosomal RNA is filed under the name uncultured bacterium. RNAcentral's name for it is "bacterial SSU rRNA". It matches the Rfam family "Bacterial small subunit ribosomal RNA", at positions 356 to 896 of the family's 1533-position model. The record is from RNAcentral.